Molecule: transfer RNA, 70 nt
Filed under: Pseudomonas aeruginosa
Lineage: Bacteria; Pseudomonadati; Pseudomonadota; Gammaproteobacteria; Pseudomonadales; Pseudomonadaceae
Description: tRNA-Thr
Rfam family: tRNA
About the family: Transfer RNA (tRNA) molecules are approximately 80 nucleotides in length. Their secondary structure includes four short double-helical elements and three loops (D, anti-codon, and T loops).
Source: RNAcentral
GCUCAUGUAGCUCAGUUGGUAGAGCACACCCUUGGUAAGGGUGAGGUCCCGCACGUCAACGUCGGCACCA